CAAUCCUGGUGGCGAGUGGCGAACGGGUGAGUAAYACAUCGGAACGUGCCCAGUAGUGGGGGAUAACCCGGCGAAAGCCGGACUAAUACCGCAUACGACCUACGGGUGAAAGCAGGGGAUCGCAAGACCUUGCGCUAUCGGAGCGGCCGAUGUCAGAUUAGCUUGUUGGCGGGGUAAAAGCCCACCAAGGCGACGAUCUGUAGCUGGUCUGAGAGGACGACCAGCCACACUGGGACUGAGACACGGCCCAGACUCCUACGGGAGGCAGCAGUGGGGAAUUUUGGACAAUGGGCGCAAGCCUGAUCCAGCCAUGCCGCGUGAGGGAAGAAGGCCUUCGGGUUGUAAACCGCUUUUGUCAGGAAGAAACGCUCCGGAUUAAUACCCCGGAUAUGACGGUACCUGAAAAUAAGCACCGGCUAACUACUGCCAGCAGCCGCGGUAAUACGUAGGGUGCGC
This 456-nucleotide ribosomal RNA is filed under the name uncultured incertae sedis 5 bacterium. Its description in RNAcentral is "bacterial SSU rRNA". It matches the Rfam family "Bacterial small subunit ribosomal RNA", at positions 80 to 535 of the family's 1533-position model. The record is from RNAcentral.